Ooceraea biroi (clonal raider ant) is the source of this 973-nucleotide long non-coding RNA. RefSeq lists it as uncharacterized. NCBI's taxonomy places the organism in Eukaryota, Metazoa, Arthropoda, Insecta, Hymenoptera, Formicidae. The record is from RefSeq and is a predicted model, not a curated record.
CGUGGCGAAAGAGGUAACAUAAUAUAAUUACACGUUCUACGAGUUAAACGUCCGCAUGGUUGCUUAUAAAUGCACCUGGGACGUGCGGACGUGCGGUAGAUAUCAAGGGAAGAAUAUCUUUCAAUUUCGAUUAAUGAUGGAAUCAAAAUAAAGUAUGGACUUACAGAAACGUGGGAGGGUUUGCAGGAUCGCAGGUAACGCAAGUCUUUGCUAUGCCGAGGGAGCACUCGGAGUAUGCGGACGACAUGAGCCUUUGUAGUAUGAAGCUAAAGUAUUUAUAGUAUGCGGAACGUUUGCAGGAACUCUUGUAAGUCUUACACACGAUCUGCCUCAUUGUUACGCGUGACACUUGACUUGAUUGCAUCCCUUGAUGUGGACACAAAAAUGCGCACGCCAUAACGUAUGGAUAGGAGUGUGUCCUUUUCGCAAACUUCAUAAAAUUGGUCAUUUGCGGAAGCUGUUAAAAAAACGCAUAAGUGUUAAUACGUUUUUUAUAUUAUCAAUUAUGUUUGAGGAUGAGCGGAAUGAAUAUAGUUUUGAAGAGAAUUUUAGUAAAAUCCUAAUUUCUCACGAAAUAAUCUCAGUCCUUCGCAAGGACUCAGUACAUCCGGUAUUUGUCUGAGCAGGGGAAAAUAUUUUUCUCUAAUGUUCGGCAAACAUCGGUCGAAGCGGCUCGCGUUGCCAUAUAUGGGCAUGUCGAAUCGUCGUUCGAGCAACUCGGGCGAAUAACAAGAUUUGGAAGACAAAAUGAAGAAAAUACUGCGGCAAAAACCGAAUCAGUUGUCUCACGAUUCUAGUCGAAGAAAGUCUUCUUCUCUAGCUCGUAAUUUUCUCUUUGUUCGGUUCACCUCACGAGUGCCGUGUAACCGAGUCUCGUUCGACCGACCAUUCGACGCCUGGUUUUACUAAAUCGGGUUCUCUGCGUUAACCACUAUUAAACUGAGACGAUAAAUACAUAUUCAAUUUCACUGAA